RNAcentral lists this long non-coding RNA (732 nucleotides) under Panax ginseng (ginseng). Its description in RNAcentral is "long non-coding RNA (PGIN_LNC000711)". The record is from RNAcentral. Lineage: Eukaryota; Viridiplantae; Streptophyta; Magnoliopsida; Apiales; Araliaceae.
CACAAUUACGUAUUAAUUCUCAAUUCUUGAACAACUAUUAUUGGUAUAGCGUGCGUGUGUGAUCAACAUCUAAGAUAACUGAUACGGACCCAAAUUCAAUACAUAAACAACUUCUUAGAAGGAAUUAUACAGUGCAAACUUAAAAAUCUCAAAGAUAGGCACGAUUCAACUAAAAUUAAACUUAACCAAAUUCAAGGGUACAUGCAGGAUACUUAUACUUUCUCUUCUUCUUUUCUUUUUUUUUCUAUACGGGGGCUUUUUGCACUUUUCCCGUUUUAUUCUUAUCUUUUUUUUUCUAAAUAUACAUAAACGACUGUGCAAUGUCUCAUCCAAUUAGGCUUACAGUGUUACCCCUUAGCGAGCUUUCGACCAAUGACUCCCAGACCAUAGAAGACCUUAGGGCGCUAGGUGUAAAGACAAUCCCCUCGGGCGUACUUGCUCAAGUAGCAGAGGCCCCGAAACAAGACUAGUCACCAUGCAUACCCUAUGUAUUUUUCUUCUUUUUUUUAUAUUUUUUUUAGAUAAGCUUAUAUACCCCACAUUUAUUGCCCCAAACUUAGGUUCUUGCCUAAUUUAAGCCUUCACUACCUAUCCUUUGAACUGACUGGUCAACAAAGAUGUUAUUAGUGCUACCCUUUUUAUAACAGUUUCAAACAAGUCCAAGAAUCGAUUCAUAACAGUAAUUAUAUCACAGUUCUAAUAAUCCAUACUAUAUUGGUUAACUUAUUCACA